This 468-nucleotide ribosomal RNA is filed under the name uncultured bacterium. Its description in RNAcentral is "partial 16S ribosomal RNA". It matches the Rfam family "Bacterial small subunit ribosomal RNA", at positions 28 to 507 of the family's 1533-position model. The record is from RNAcentral.
GACGAACGCUGGCGGCGUGCUUAACACAUGCAAGUCGAACGGAAAGGCCCUGCUUUUGUGGGGUGCUCGAGUGGCGAACGGGUGAGUAACACGUGAGUAACCUGCCCUUGACUUUGGGAUAACUUCAGGAAACGGGGGUUAAUCCCGGAUAGGAGCUCCUGCUCCAUGGUGGGGGUUGGAAAGUUUCGGCGGUUGGGGAUGGACUCGCGGCUUAUCAGUUUGUUGGUGGGGUAGUGGCUUACCAAGGCUUUGACGGGUAGCCGGCCUGAGAGGGUGACCGGCCACAUGGGGACUGAGAUAGGGACCAGACUCCAACGGGAGGCAGCAGUGGGAAAUAUUGCACAAUGGGCGGAAGCCUGAUGCAGCAACGCCGCGUGCGGGAUGACGGCUUUCGGGUUGUAAACCGCUUUCGCCUGUGACGAAGCGUGAGUGACGGUAAUGGGUAAAGAAGCACCGGCUAACUACGUG